Chrysemys picta bellii (western painted turtle) is the source of this 2175-nucleotide long non-coding RNA. The record is from Ensembl. NCBI's taxonomy places the organism in Eukaryota, Metazoa, Chordata, Testudines, Emydidae.
UGCGGAUGCAGCAGGUAAACAAACCAGCCCGGCCCGCCAGGGGCUUUCCCUGAACAAGCGGCAGCCCUAGUUUGAGAACCACUGGCAUAGACCAUUUGUGAAACUCAGUCAUGUCAUAUUGAUACUUCACAUAUUUGAUAGGAUAUCAAAUUAGUACACUCUGCCACCGUCAUGUAAAUAACCUACUACUGCAAUUUGUCCCCAUUAGAUCAACAGGCAACUUGAUGCCUGACAGCUAUACAAAGCAAAGCAGAGCGUCAAAAAUGGUAGUCUAACAAUAUGAAAGGGAGGUAAAUAUUUAUUAUUUGUACUACCAUAGCAUCUAGAAACCUGAGUCAUGGUCCAGGACCUCAAUGCGCUAGGUGGAAAUAUAACCAACAUUUAUGUACCAGAAAUGUUAUUCCUUGAACCAAAGAAAGCACGUGCUGUGAUGUAAUUGCAGCACUAAAGCAGCAGUAUUUUAGACAGCGAAAAAUGUGCAAGUUUUCUAUGCUUCUUUUAUUGUUAUUAAAAGAAGCACUGUUACCUUGACAACGGCUGUAUCACAUGAGAUUUGUUAUAGAAACCCAAAUGUUACUUAGACUUGCACAUUUGCAAUCAAUUUAGAGAAACCCAUUGUGUGUUUUUUAAAAAAAUCAGACAUUUUCCCCUAUGACUAUAAGCCUACAACUUUCAACGUAUUGUAUUUUUAAAUGCAUGUGGCACCUGACUUAUGCCCAUGAAAUCUGCACAUUCAGCCACUUUGCACCCAGAUCUAGUGUUUAAAUGCAUGAUUUAGGCAGCCACAUUUGAAAACUUCAGCAUCACUCUUCUUUUAUCCUUUUUUAAAAAAAGUGUUAAUCUUGUUUUAAGGGAAAGAAUUGGAUGCGGAAGGAUAAGGAAGAACCAGCAGAUGAGCCAAUGGGAAGCAGAUUGUGUGAACACAGAAGGAAGAUUGGCAAGUACAUGGUAAACCAUGGCAGUGUGAGGAAGUGCCUUUUUAAAAAAGAAAAAUUGUCCUUGUCUGAGAGAGAGAGAGAGAGAGAGAGAGAGAGAGACUGGCAAGGUAAAGGAGAAGAGGUCAUGGAGACAACUGCACCACAGUUUACAUGGAAGUAGAGAAUGAGAAGACAGAAACAGCAGCCAAGUCCCCGCAAAUUAAAAUUCAUCUUCAAGGCCUCCUCAAACCAAAAAGUUGCAAGGAACAGCCCAAGACAAAAGUAGAAUUCUGUAAGCCUAAAAGACACUGGUAACAUCCACAAGACAACAGGAAGAAAGGAUAGCAAUGCUGCUCUUAUCGCUAAGAUUUUAAGAGCGUUUGCACUAGUUACAGCCCUCUUAAACCCUUGCCAUUGUCCACCUAAGAAUCCCAAACUGGUUCUCUCCAGACAGGAGUCUGUGAUAAGAAAGAAAGGGGAGGCUUGAAACAGAUUUGAUAAGUCUAAAGCAUGUCAUUGCCUAAGGAACAGCAUCCUCAGUUCUGUCUAUUCGGAGGCUUACGAUAUACAUUAAGAAUAGCUUGUCACCGGCUAUUUGAAAGAAUCAUGCUUAUUACAUUCUCUCCUGGAAGAAAUCAUAUUCCAGCUACAGCAUCAGAGUAACUCCAAUUAUGCUGAUGUUUUGGGGUCCAGAUGGUGUGGCUAAGAUGACAGUCAUUUUACCUUUAUAAUACACUGUGCAGUGAAUGACAGUGUAAAUUACAAAGACAAAAUGACUCAUCUACACCAUCCCAAGAGGCCACCUGUUACAAAACAGUGGUAAAUGUAAAGAUGUGGAGGUUGAGAGAAAGAUUGAGCCCAUGUAUUAGAAGUCUGCCAUGGCUUCUUUUGCUUGUGUAUUAAUUUUUCAUGUUAACCUCAAAUUCUAUUAAGCUAGUUGUGUUUACACUCGUUUCACAUGGUACCAAAAAUAACCCAAGGCAAUUACCUUUGUUUACAGGAGCUAAUGAAAAAAGAGUUUUCAAUGUCCGUUUUGCCUGGCUUCAAAGCUUCUUUGCAAUUGAACACCACCUCCAACAAGUGCCAAGUUGUGCUUUUUAGUUUGGUUUACAUUACACAGGGAUGAAUCUAUUGUCUCCAUCCUAUGGGAUAAAAGAGUAAUCUUUACCCAACAGAAAAGAGGAGCAUUUUAUUCUUAGUCUAUCAAUGUUGAUUCUCAAAAAAAAAAAUAAAAAAGUAAGUAGGUAAAGAGGGCCCA